RNAcentral lists this ribosomal RNA (365 nucleotides) under Actinomycetales bacterium. RNAcentral's name for it is "bacterial SSU rRNA". It matches the Rfam family "Bacterial small subunit ribosomal RNA", at positions 1 to 367 of the family's 1533-position model. Lineage: Bacteria; Bacillati; Actinomycetota; Actinomycetes; Actinomycetales. The record is from RNAcentral.
UGAAUGGAGAGUUUGAUCCUGGCUCAGGACGAACGCUGGCGGCGUGCUUAACACAUGCAAGUCGAACGGUGACCCGGAGCUUGCUCCGGUGAUCAGUGGCGAACGGGUGAGUAACACGUGGGCAACCUGCCCCUGACUUCGGGAUAACUCCUCGAAAGAGGAGCUAAUACCGAAUACGAACCCUGCAGGCAUCUGCGGGGUUGGAAAGUUUUUCGGUCAGGGAUGGGCCCGCGGCCUAUCAGCUUGUUGGUGAGGUAACGGCUCACCAAGGCGACGACGGGUAGCCGGCCUGAGAGGGCGACCGGCCACACUGGGACUGAGACACGGCCCAGACUCCUACGGGAGGCAGCAGUGGGGAAUAUUGC